Molecule: transfer RNA, 70 nt
Filed under: fish gut metagenome
Rfam family: tRNA
About the family: Transfer RNA (tRNA) molecules are approximately 80 nucleotides in length.
Source: RNAcentral
CUAGAUAGCUCAGUUGGCUAGAGCAUUCGGUUCAUACCCGAACGGUCGUAGGUUCGAAUCCUAUUCUAGG